RNAcentral lists this long non-coding RNA (356 nucleotides) under Setaria viridis. RNAcentral describes it as "long non-coding RNA (SVIR_LNC004824)". The record is from RNAcentral. Lineage: Eukaryota; Viridiplantae; Streptophyta; Magnoliopsida; Poales; Poaceae.
AAAUAGUGGUAAAUACGCUGUAGGUCUAGAAUUUGAGGAGCAGCUUGUGCCCUCACUCGUUAUAUGUUGGCUCCGCCCCUAUCCUCUGGGGAGAAGAGAGGCGGCUCCCAUAUCCCUAAUCCCUAAGAUCUUAUUUAGAUAGUAGUGGAUUGAAGUGGAAUGGGAGGGAUCGGAGGAAAUUAGUUCAUUUUAGACUCAAUCCCCUUCGUUCCACUUCAAUCCACGUCUAAUGAGUGUUUUAUUGGUUAAGAUUGCCAUGAACGACGACAUCACUAAUCUACAAUUGAUUUUGUUAAGCCACACAACAGGUGUUACCCCUACAUUUUGAGUCUUGGUUUCACCCCCUACAUGUCCUU